AUUUAAAUUUCAACUUAAAUUGUUUUCAAGUAUUUUGAAAUAGGAAUGAAGUUUGUCUGUUAGUUUUUGUUUGAUUAUUUCCAUUUCUGAAUUAUUCAGUGUUGUCCACGUACUAGUUGUCAUAAACAGACUUUCGAUCUCUUUAUGAUGGCAGUACAGCAGAUCACUUAAGGAUUGCUAAGACAUGAAUUAACGUUUCUAACACUUGACAAAGUUACAACAUCCUACGUUGAAAAUGGACUAGACGAUACUGAUAAUAAUAAUGGUUUUAUGCAAAGUACGAGUAAUGGAUUGCAGUGCAACAGAUCACUC
Rhopalosiphum maidis (corn leaf aphid) is the source of this 312-nucleotide long non-coding RNA. RefSeq lists it as uncharacterized. The record is from RefSeq and is a predicted model, not a curated record. NCBI's taxonomy places the organism in Eukaryota, Metazoa, Arthropoda, Insecta, Hemiptera, Aphididae. The transcript has 3 exons.